AUACGGAGGGUGCAAGCGUUAUCCGGAAUUAUUGGGCGUAAAGGGUGCGUAGGCGGCCUUUUAAGUCAGAUGUGAAAGGCUACGGCUUAACCGUAGUUAGCAUUUGAAACUAAAAGGCUUGAGCGCAGGAGAGGAGAGUGGAAUUCCUAGUGUAGCGGUGAAAUGCGUAGAUAUUAGGAGGAACACCAGUGGCGAAGGCGACUCUCUGGACUGCAACUGACGCUGAGGCACGAAAGCGUGGGGAGCGAACAGGAUUAGAUACCCUGGUAGUCCACGCCGUAAACGAUGAGUGCUAGAUGUUGGUGGGGACACCCAUCAGUGCCGCAGCUAACGCAUUAAGCACUCCGCCUGGGGAGUACGGUCGCAAGACUGAA
This 374-nucleotide ribosomal RNA is filed under the name uncultured bacterium. Its description in RNAcentral is "bacterial SSU rRNA". It matches the Rfam family "Bacterial small subunit ribosomal RNA", at positions 523 to 898 of the family's 1533-position model. The record is from RNAcentral.